Molecule: ribosomal RNA, 305 nt
Filed under: uncultured bacterium
Lineage: Bacteria
Description: bacterial SSU rRNA
Rfam family: Bacterial small subunit ribosomal RNA
Source: RNAcentral
UUGCCUACGGGGCGCAGCAGUGGGGAAUAUUGCACAAUGGGGGAAACCCUGAUGCAGCAACGCCGCGUGAAGGAAGACGGUUUUCGGAUUGUAAACUUCUGUUCUUAGUGAAGAAGAAUGACGGUAGCUAAGGAGCAAGCCACGGCUAACUACGUGCCAGCAGCCGCGGUAAUACGGAAGGUCCGGGCGUUAUCCGGAUUUAUUGGGUUUAAAGGGAGCGUAGGCCGGCUUUUAAGUCAGCUGUGAAAGUCCGCGGCUCAACCGUGGAAUUGCAGUUGAAACUGGAGGCCUUGAGUGCACACAGG